GAUGAACGCUGGCGGCGUGCCUAAUACAUGCAAGUCGAGCGAACGGACGAGAAGCUUGCUUCUCUGAUGUUAGCGGCGGACGGGUGAGUAACACGUGGAUAACCUACCUAUAAGACUGGGAUAACUUCGGGAAACCGGAGCUAAUACCGGAUAAUAUUUUGAACCGCAUGGUUCAAAAGUGAAAGUCGGUCUUGCUGUCACUUAUAGAUGGAUCCGCGCUGCAUUAGCUAGUUGGUAAGGUAACGGCUUACCAAGGCAACGAUGCAUAGCCGACCUGUGAGGGGGAUCGGCCCCACUGGAGCUGAACCACGUUCCGGACUCCUGCGGGAGGCAGCAGUAGGGCAUCUUCCGCAAUAGGCGAAAGCCUGACGUAGCAACGCCGCGUAGGUGAUGAAGGUCUUCGGAUCGGAAAACUCUGUUAUUCGGGAAGAACAUUUGUGUAAGUAUCUGUGCACAUCUUGACGGUACCUUGUCAGAAAGCCACGGCUAACUACGUG
Molecule: ribosomal RNA, 497 nt
Filed under: uncultured bacterium
Lineage: Bacteria
Description: partial 16S ribosomal RNA
Rfam family: Bacterial small subunit ribosomal RNA
Source: RNAcentral